GAAAUGCGAUAAGUAGUGUGAAUUGCAGAAUUCAGUGAAUCAUCGAAUCUUUGAACGCACAUUGCGCCCCUCGGUAUUCCGUGGGGCAUGCCUGUUCGAGCGUCAUCUACACCCUCAAGCUCUGCUUGGUGUUGGGCGUCUGUCCCGCCUCCUUCGCGCGCGGACUCGCCCCAAAUCCAUUGGCGGCGGCCCUUGCCUCCCUCUCGCGCAGCACAUUGCGCUUCUCGAGGCGCGGCGGACCGCGUCCAACAAGCAACCGUCACACCGUCUUUGACCUCGGAUCAGGUAGGGAUACCCGCUGAACUUAAGC
This 310-nucleotide unclassified non-coding RNA is filed under the name plant metagenome. RNAcentral describes it as "partial contains 5.8S ribosomal RNA, internal transcribed spacer 2, and large subunit ribosomal RNA". The stretch from base 1 to 105 matches the Rfam family "5.8S ribosomal RNA", at positions 50 to 154 of the family's 154-position model. The record is from RNAcentral.